GAAUUGAAAGCUAACAUUAUAAGCAGCGGCCUUGUAAGUCGAAGAUAGAGGUACUCUCAAUUCU
Molecule: transfer RNA, 64 nt
Filed under: Amynthas glaucus
Lineage: Eukaryota; Metazoa; Annelida; Clitellata; Crassiclitellata; Megascolecidae
Description: tRNA-Thr
Source: RNAcentral